This 73-nucleotide transfer RNA is filed under the name Camelus bactrianus (Bactrian camel). It matches the Rfam family "tRNA". Rfam says of the family: Transfer RNA (tRNA) molecules are approximately 80 nucleotides in length. Their secondary structure includes four short double-helical elements and three loops (D, anti-codon, and T loops). RNAcentral also lists the same sequence under 2 other names. The record is from Rfam by way of RNAcentral. Lineage: Eukaryota; Metazoa; Chordata; Mammalia; Artiodactyla; Camelidae.
GAAGGUGUAGCUCAAGUGGUAGAGCGCAUGCUUAGCAGGCACAACGUCUUGGGUUCAAUCCCCGUCACCUCCU